CCCUUAGAUGUCCUGGGCCGCACGCGUGCUACACUGACGCCUACAGCGAGUACUUCCCAGCCCCGAGAGGCGGCUGGUAAUCAGCAAUAGGCGUCGUGAUGGGGAUAGAUCUUUGGAAUUAUGGAUCUUGAACGAGGAAUGCCUAGUAAGCGCAGGUCAUUAGCCUGCGCUGAUUACGUCCCUGCCCUUUGUACACACCGCCCGUCGCACCUACCGAUUGAAUGGUCCGGUGAAGCCUCCGGAUUGGCGCGCACCUCGGUGCCGCCGAGAAGUUGGCUAAACCUUACCAUUUAGAGGAAGGUGAAGUCGUAACA
This 314-nucleotide ribosomal RNA is filed under the name uncultured eukaryote. RNAcentral describes it as "partial 18S ribosomal RNA". It matches the Rfam family "Eukaryotic small subunit ribosomal RNA", at positions 1470 to 1796 of the family's 1831-position model. The record is from RNAcentral.